GUUUGGUUUUUCAAUAAGAAUACUAUCAAAAUACUGUCAAUACUCUCUAGUGAUAGUACAUCUUUAAAUCAGCAAUGUGUGGACCAUAUUUCACUAACAUCACAUCUGCUUCAAAUUUAGAAUCUCCAAGAAUCAAAAUUCUUGCAAUUGUACAAAUUGGGGCAAAAUGAAUGAUCCUAGAUGAAUUCCAAACCCUGCAGCCUAAAC
Non-coding RNA from Pelobates cultripes (western spadefoot toad), 207 nucleotides. Lineage: Eukaryota; Metazoa; Chordata; Amphibia; Anura; Pelobatidae. The record is from the annotation of a GenBank genome assembly.